Molecule: ribosomal RNA, 254 nt
Filed under: uncultured bacterium
Lineage: Bacteria
Description: partial 16S ribosomal RNA
Rfam family: Bacterial small subunit ribosomal RNA
Source: RNAcentral
UACGUAGGCAGCAAGCGUUGUUCGGAGUUACUGGGCGUAAAGGGUGCGCAGGUGGCGGCGCGCGUGGGGGGUGAAAUCGCCCGGCUUAACUGGGCGGGGGCCUUCCAGACGGCGUGGCUUGAGCAGCGGAGGGGGACGUGGAAUUCCGGGUGGAGCGGUGAAAUGCGUAGAGAUCCGGAGGAACACCGACGGCGCAGGCAGCGUCCUGGCCGCUUGCUGACACUGAGGCACGAAAGCUGGGGGGAGCAAACAGG